UACGUAGGUGGCAAGCGUUGUCCGGAUUUACUGGGCGUAAAGGAUGCGUAGGCGGAUAUGUAAGUCAGAUGUGAAAUUCCCGGGCUUAACUUGGGAACUGCAUUUGAAACUGCAUGUCUAGAGUGCAGGAGAGGAAAGUGGAAUUCCUAGUGUAGCGGUGAAAUGCGUAGAGAUUAGGAAGAACACCAGUGGCGAAGGCGACUUUCUGGACUGUAACUGACGCUGAGGUAUGAAAGCGUGGGGAGCAAACAGG
RNAcentral lists this ribosomal RNA (253 nucleotides) under uncultured bacterium. RNAcentral's name for it is "partial 16S ribosomal RNA". It matches the Rfam family "Bacterial small subunit ribosomal RNA", at positions 524 to 776 of the family's 1533-position model. The record is from RNAcentral.